GAAUUUGAAUGAGGACAGUAUCUUUCGGCGCCAUUUUCGAGUGAGCUGCGAUCGUUGGAGCAGCUGCUGUGUUUUUCAGCAGGAUGCUGCGGACGUAAAGAGACGGAGAAACAGCCACCACCAUCGCUUCUCUUCCCUUCUUGGAUGGACGAUAAAAUAGUUUCUUUGACGGGGCGAGGGGAGAAGAUGUGGAGUACAGAAGGAGAGAGAGGCUGACACAUGUGACGAGACGACCCAAGCGCAUCCACCAGAUAAAUGACUGUUGUGGCAGUGCCGUAGCAGCACGGAAUGGUUUGUGGGUUACACUGAGAUGCAGGCCAUACCGUGCUGCCACAGUGAAGCCCGACCCGCUCUUCCCGACGCCAGCCCGCCCGUCGCUCCACGCCCUCACUUGUAGCGUAUCGGCACAGGUCACUUGACUGUAGCAGCACGUAAAUAUUGGAGUGGACUCUCUCAGCCGAAGCCUCCAGUAUUGAUCGUGCUGCUGAAGCAAAGAUGACCACUCGCUCACAAACGCAUCCACCAGAGUAAACCCUGUUGUAAAAAACUGAUUCAUGUUUCCAUGAAUAAACAUGCUGGAUAAAUAA
Molecule: long non-coding RNA, 587 nt
Organism: Hippocampus comes (tiger tail seahorse)
Lineage: Eukaryota; Metazoa; Chordata; Actinopteri; Syngnathiformes; Syngnathidae
Exons: 2
Source: RefSeq, a predicted model, not a curated record